RNAcentral lists this ribosomal RNA (253 nucleotides) under uncultured bacterium. RNAcentral describes it as "partial 16S ribosomal RNA". It matches the Rfam family "Bacterial small subunit ribosomal RNA", at positions 524 to 776 of the family's 1533-position model. The record is from RNAcentral.
CACGUAGGGUGCAAGCGUUGUCCGGAAUCACUGGGCGUAAAGGGCGCGUAGGCGGCCUGGUAAGUAGGGGGUGAAAUCCUGCGGCUUAACCGCAGGGCUGCCUUCUAAACUGUCAGGCUCGAGCACGGUAGAGGCAGAUGGAAUUCCUGGUGUAGCGGUGAAAUGCGCAGAUAUCAGGAAGAACACCAAUGGCGAAGGCAGCUCUCUGGGACGGUACUGCCGCUGAGACGCGAAAGCGUGGGGAGCGAACAGG